This 781-nucleotide ribosomal RNA is filed under the name Akkermansia muciniphila. RNAcentral describes it as "bacterial SSU rRNA". It matches the Rfam family "Bacterial small subunit ribosomal RNA", at positions 86 to 891 of the family's 1533-position model. Lineage: Bacteria; Pseudomonadati; Verrucomicrobiota; Verrucomicrobiia; Verrucomicrobiales; Akkermansiaceae. The record is from RNAcentral.
AAUUCUCUAGUGGCGCACGGGUGAGUAACACGUGAGUAACCUGCCCCCGAGAGCGGGAUAGCCCUGGGAAACUGGGAUUAAUACCGCAUAGUAUCGAAAGAUUAAAGCAGCAAUGCGCUUGGGGAUGGGCUCGCGGCCUAUUAGUUAGUUGGUGAGGUAACGGCUCACCAAGGCGAUGACGGGUAGCCGGUCUGAGAGGAUGUCCGGCCACACUGGAACUGAAACACGGUCCAGACACCUACGGGUGGCAGCAGUCGAGAAUCAUUCACAAUGGGGGAAACCCUGAUGGUGUGACGCCGCGUGGGGGAAUGAAGGUCUUCGGAUUGUAAACCCCUGUCAUGUGGGAGCAAAUUAAAAAGAUAGUACCACAAGAGGAAGAGACGGCUAACUCUGUGCCAGCAGCCGCGGUAAUACAGAGGUCUCAAGCGUUGUUCGGAAUCACUGGGCGUAAAGCGUGCGUAGGCUGUUUCGUAAGUCGUGUGUGAAAGGCGCGGGCUCAACCCGCGGACGGCACAUGAUACUGCGAGACUAGAGUAAUGGAGGGGGAACCGGAAUUCUCGGUGUAGCAGUGAAAUGCGUAGAUAUCGAGAGGAACACUCGUGGCGAAGGCGGGUUCCUGGACAUUAACUGACGCUGAGGCACGAAGGCCAGGGGAGCGAAAGGGAUUAGAUACCCCUGUAGUCCUGGCAGUAAACGGUGCACGCUUGGUGUGCGGGGAAUCGACCCCCUGCGUGCCGGAGCUAACGCGUUAAGCGUGCCGCCUGGGGGAGUACGGUCGCAA